This 126-nucleotide ribosomal RNA is filed under the name Bacillus sp. HNG. RNAcentral's name for it is "partial 23S ribosomal RNA". It matches the Rfam family "Bacterial large subunit ribosomal RNA", at positions 2803 to 2925 of the family's 2925-position model. Lineage: Bacteria; Bacillati; Bacillota; Bacilli; Caryophanales; Bacillaceae. The record is from RNAcentral.
GAUGAGAUUUCCCAUAGUGUUAAACUAGUAAGAUCCCUCGAAGAUGACGAGGUUGAUAGGUCAGAGGUGGAAGCAUGGUGACAUGUGCAGCUGACUGAUACUAAUCGAUCGAGGACUUAACCAAAA